CUCCAAAGCAACCAGUCUAUUUCACAACUUUGUCUUGUUUGCCAGCUUUAACAAAACGGUAAUGGCACUCUUCCUUGAAAACUGGAAUCUCAAUAGUCUUUUACCACAUACUGUAUAACAGUGCCUGGCCCUAUUCUAGGCACUCUUGAACUAAUGAAACACAGAUCUUAAAAUUUUAUGCAGAAGUUGUGGGAGGGGGAGAAAGACAAUGAUUAACAGAGUUUUAAGUACGGUAGGUAAGGGCAUCAGAGAUCAAGGGUAUAAACAUAAACACAAGCAAUGCUUUCAACUGCCAUCUUACACACACUACCUUCAUAGUGAAGGUACAUUUUCUAUCUCCAAACGUUACAUGCCUAAGGCUUCUCUCUCAUUUUAUUUGGUAGUAUCAGAUAGCAUUAUGUAACCCAUCCUGCCAAAUGACCUCUUCCUAGAUUUUAGCAAGCCUGAAUGUCUUUACCAGAUUGUUUUAUCAGUAACCUUCCCUCAUGACCAUACUUAAUAAACUGCUAUUAUUAUUCUAUUGUGCUCCUUAUUUUCUGUAUCUCAUUCCCCCAUUUCUCAACUUAAGCAUCCAGGCUUUCAAAAUUAUAGUUACAUCAAAACUAAAUAUUCCAUGAUUUGCUUAGUAACAAUUACUUCUAAUUCCUGUCUCUCCACUCUUACACUGAUCCAAAAACCCUUACAUUGUACCCUGCACAAACCCGAAACAUUCACUCACAGUAAUUUGAUUACAAGGCUGGUUAGUGGAUUUUCCAUUUAAUGCUCCCCAUGUUAUUUCAGGACCUAUUUAAAAGUAAUAACAAAAAGGAACAUAAUCCAAAAUUACAUGUUUUAUUUUCAUGUUUGUAAAACGAAGAGCUUUUUUCUGGAUGGUUUUCUUAUCAGCUUUUCACACAACAGUCAAGUAAACCUCGUGGCACUAGCCCUAGAAAAGGAAAAACACGAGAUUCUUACAAGACUACAAACAUUA
RNAcentral lists this long non-coding RNA (970 nucleotides) under Homo sapiens (human). RNAcentral describes it as "non-protein coding lnc-NT5E-3:2". Lineage: Eukaryota; Metazoa; Chordata; Mammalia; Primates; Hominidae. The record is from RNAcentral.